UGGACAGCUAGUUUAACGGUAGAACAUCUGCUGUAUGUCCCUUCUUCAAAGCAUUAUCCGCAAGGGUCGAAGAAUUAGGGUUAUCGCUAGGACGCAGGCAAUAGAGGUUCGAAUCCUCUCCUGUCCAC
RNAcentral lists this transfer RNA (128 nucleotides) under Acaryochloris sp. CCMEE 5410. Its description in RNAcentral is "tRNA-OTHER". It matches the Rfam family "tRNA". From Rfam's summary of the family: Transfer RNA (tRNA) molecules are approximately 80 nucleotides in length. Their secondary structure includes four short double-helical elements and three loops (D, anti-codon, and T loops). Lineage: Bacteria; Bacillati; Cyanobacteriota; Cyanophyceae; Acaryochloridales; Acaryochloridaceae. The record is from RNAcentral.